AGAACACGUGCCACUGCGGGCUCGCGGGCAGUUUGGCAGGUGCUGAUGGUCAUGACCCUUUCCGCGGUAAUGACACUGAAAAUUGUUCGUCGCUGGACUUUGUCACAUUCAAAGCCGUGCUCAAUAAUAAACCUGAGCUUCUCUAGGAACGGAUUUGAAAUACAGACCUAAAAAGCCAAGCCAUCCAUCUGCAUGUGUUCAGGCAGGGAGUCCUUGUCUGCUCUUUGAUCUUUCUUAUCUCCACGGGCUGAGCUGGGGCAGAGGUGGCAAGAGACAGAUGAGGACAGGAGAAGCAGGGAGUGCCUUUUUCCACAGCAAGUGGUGGAUGAAGAUGUGUGUGAAACUUCAGCUUGAAACCAAGUGGAGUCAGAGUACAAAGAGGAAGAAACCUCCGUUUGACACUGCCUCACUAAUCUCAGCAGUGUAUCACUCAUUAUUCUGCACAGGAUUAAAGGCUUUGCUGGGGCAGAUUCUUCAACUCAGAGACGUAAUCUUCCCACACCUGUCCUCAGCAUAUAUUUUCCUCAGAGAAAAAAGCUCUACAGGCUCUUUGUUCUACAAAAAAGAUCUGGAGAUAUCACCUGGUGUUUAUCUGUGACUAUGAAAUCCAUAAUCCUUACAGGUAAUUAUGUUGUCUGCCUAGAAGUUCUCACUUUUGAGGUUUGGUUGUUGGAUGAGCUGCUGAUUCUAAUAAAUCUGUUGGGAUUGUGAGGAA
This 715-nucleotide long non-coding RNA is filed under the name Serinus canaria (Common canary). Its description in RNAcentral is "lncRNA (ENSSCAG00000006624.1)". Lineage: Eukaryota; Metazoa; Chordata; Aves; Passeriformes; Fringillidae. The record is from RNAcentral.